Lathyrus oleraceus (garden pea) is the source of this 1196-nucleotide long non-coding RNA. RefSeq lists it as uncharacterized. The transcript is spliced from 3 exons. The record is from RefSeq and is a predicted model, not a curated record. Lineage: Eukaryota; Viridiplantae; Streptophyta; Magnoliopsida; Fabales; Fabaceae.
UGUGCAAAAUAACCAAUAACCAUGAACCAAUUUCCUAUCCAAAUUAAUCCAAACAUUAAAACCCAACCCAAAAUUAUAUUUAAAAAUUGGUGAUCCAUUUAUCAAAUUAAAAAAAAACCGGUAACCAUUAUUACAAACCGGUUCAGGUAAACGGUUACCAUUUUUCAAUAAUCAUUUCAAAUCCCUAAUUCUCAAAUUUCAGAAUCCCUAAUUCUCAAAAAUCCAAAUUUUUUUCAUCUUUUUUUUCUCUUCAUCAUUCUUCAAAUUCUAAACUCAUCAAAACCUGCAUCGUGAAACAAAGAUUGUCUGGUGUAUCUUCUACCAAAUCCCUACCCUAACCCUUUCUUCUCAAACCCUCAACUUGCAACUCAGAAUCUAUUUUAAGUUGCAUUGGUAGGUGAAUUUUUUAUAUCUACUUUUCUUUUCCUUUCAAUUCCAUUAUUAAUUUAUUUUACUUUUUUAUCCCUCUAGAUCUGGUGUUCACGAAAUUCAUCUAUAAUUGGCUUGUUUAUUUUGUUUGAGAGGUUUAUAGGUUAAGCUUAAUGUGAUUAGGAACACAUAAAUUGUUUGGGAAAUUAACAAAGUGAUUUACAGUUUCUUUCUUUGCUGUGAAAUUGAAUUCAAGGAGAUGAUCGGAGGCUGUGGCAGGAUCAGCAGCAUAGCUUGGUAGAAGUCUGUCUUGUGUAUGUGUACAGAGAAGAGAUAGUGAUGCUUCUAGCUUUUUUGAUUUAACUCUAGCCCAGAAUCAAGAUGACUAAUGUUGGUACAACUUAUGCAACAUCCGAGAAUACAGUUUCAACCCCUCCACCUACAAUCUCUAAUGAAAUGCCACCUCCUCACACUAAGAAGCGAAAGAAUCGUUCAGAGGUUUGGAAGCAUUUCAUUGUAUCGUCGGAAGAAGAACAAAAAGCUUCGUGCAAAUACUGUGACACGAAAAUUAAGUAUAAUAAUGGAACUAGUUCCAUGCAUGCUCAUGUAUCGAGAUGCCUUGUUUACAAGAGGCAAAGGACAUUAUCUUCUACGACAAGUGUUGAAGAACAUGUUGGCUCUCCUUUAAUUGUCAAGUUUGACCAAGAAGCCAUUAGAAGAGCAAUGGUUAAGAUGUUCAUAAACAUGGAGAUUCCUUUUCGGAAGGUUGAACAUGAGUCUUUUCAUGAAUUUAUGAGUCUCGCAUCACCAAGAUUUCAGAUUUGUUC